GGAUGUGAUGGGGAGCGAAAUUUAGUAGCGAAGUAGCUGAUUUCACACUGUCAAGAAAAGUCUCUAUCGAGGUUAAAGGUACCCGUACCGCAAACCGACACAGGUGGGUGAGGAGAGUAUCCUAAGGCCAGCGAGAGAACUGUUGUUAAGGAACUCGGCAAAAUGACCCCGUAACUUAGGGAUAAGGGGUGCCACCAUCAGGUGGCCGCAGAGAAUAGGCCCAAGCGACUGUUUACCAAAAACAUAGGUUUCUGCUAAGUCGCAAGACGAUGUAUAGGAGCUGACGCCUGCCCGGUGCUGGAAGGUUAAGGGGAUCUGUUAGAGCAAUCGAAGCAGUGAACUUAAGCCCCAGUAAACGGCGGCCGUAACUAUAACGGUCCUAAGGUAGCGAAAUUCCUUGUCGGGUAAGUUCCGACCCGCACGAAAGGCGUAACGAUUUGGGCACUGUCUCAACAACAGACUCGGUGAAAUUGUAAUUCCGGUGAAGAUGCCGGAUACCUGCGACAGGACGGAAAGACCCCAUGGAGCUUUACUGUAGCUUGACAUUGGGUCUUGGUACUACAUGUACAGGAUAGGUGGGAGGCUUUGAAACCAGGACGCCAGUUUUGGCGGAGCCAUCCUUGGGAUACCACCCUUGUAGUACUGGGACUCUAACCAUAGGCCAUGAAUCUGGUCUUGGGACACUGUCAGGUGGGCAGUUUGACUGGGGCGGUCGCCUCCCAAAAGGUAACGGAGGCGCUCAAAGGUUCUCUCAGUACGGUCGGAAAUCGUACGUAGAGUGUAAAGGCAAAAGAGAGCUUGAUUGCAAGACAUACAGGUCGAGCAAGGAUGAAAAUCGGACUUAGUGAUCCGGUGGUUCUGCGUGGAAGGGCCAUCGCUCAACGGAUAAAAGCUACCCUGGGGAUAACAGGCUUAUCUCCCCCAAGAGUCCACAUCGACGGGGAGGUUUGGCACCUCGAUGUCGGCUCAUCA
This 972-nucleotide ribosomal RNA is filed under the name Clostridioides difficile. RNAcentral's name for it is "partial 23S ribosomal RNA". It matches the Rfam family "Bacterial large subunit ribosomal RNA", at positions 1559 to 2542 of the family's 2925-position model. Lineage: Bacteria; Bacillati; Bacillota; Clostridia; Peptostreptococcales; Peptostreptococcaceae. The record is from RNAcentral.